Molecule: ribosomal RNA, 254 nt
Filed under: uncultured bacterium
Lineage: Bacteria
Description: partial 16S ribosomal RNA
Rfam family: Bacterial small subunit ribosomal RNA
Source: RNAcentral
UACGUAGGGACCGAGCGUUGUCCGGAAUUAUUGGGCGUAAAGAGCUCGUAGGCGGUGUGUCGCGUCGGCCGUGAAAACCUGCAGCUUAACUGUGGGCUUGCGGUCGAUACGGGCAUCACUGGAGUUCGGCAGGGGAGACUGGAAUUCCUGGUGUAGCGGUGAAAUGCGCAGAUAUCAGGAGGAACACCGGUGGCGAAGGCGGGUCUCUGGGCCGAUACUGACGCUGAGGAGCGAAAGCGUGGGGAGCAAACAGG